This 92-nucleotide transfer RNA is filed under the name compost metagenome. Its description in RNAcentral is "tRNA-Gln". The record is from RNAcentral.
GAGUGGCUGGCGGAGGAGACAGGGCGCUUUCUGGAGGCGCAGGCAGAAUGGCAGCGGAAGUAUGGCGGAAGUUCUGUGGCUGCCGCCAUCCG